This 397-nucleotide small RNA is filed under the name Oryza sativa Japonica Group (Japanese rice). RNAcentral describes it as "sRNA Os03g0847851". The record is from RNAcentral. Lineage: Eukaryota; Viridiplantae; Streptophyta; Magnoliopsida; Poales; Poaceae.
UUAUAACCAAAAUGUACAUUAGAAAGAGGAGGAUGGGGAGAGGGAGGAGGAAGACUGGAGGAUUCAUUUAUACUUGAGAUGGUUCCACAUGCUGUUGGCUGAGAGUCUGCUUCUGCUUUGAUUUAUCCCAAAGUUUGGCUCUCUACCUUUGACGUGCCUUUUGUACAUAGCUGUUAGUUUUACAAUAGAUGAUGUGGUGUCCGAGGUUGUAACUUGCUUCUUGCGCGGAUUUCAUGUUGAGAGUCAUGCCAUCUCCUGUCACAUACAUUUUGAGGUACCUACCAUCUGAAGAGGAUGGAUGACUGUUAAUUUCAGUUGACUUUACCAGUUUAACUUCUAUCCCAAAUUGCUUUGUAUGGUUUAUAAGAGUAGCUUGCUGGCAACUGUUUGCAUGGAC